AUGAACUAUAAUAUGCAAGGGAUGACGAAAACGAUUCCCGAGCUCUUCACAAUGCUAAAGGCUGCGGAGGUAGAAAUCAAGAAGGAGCAUCAAGUGCUGAUGGUCAACAAGACCACUAGUUUCAAGAAGAAGGGAAAAGGGAAGAAGGUGAACUUCAAGAAUAAUAGCAAGCAAGUUGCUACUCCCGGUAAGAAGCCCAAAUCUGGACCUAAGCCUGAAAUUGAGUGCUUCUACUGCAAAGGGACUAGUCACUGGAAGCGGAACUGCCCCAAGUAUUUGGCAGAUAAGAAGGAUGGCAAAGUGAAAGGUAUAUUUGAUAUACAUGUUAUUGAUGUGUACCUUACUAAUGCUCGUUGUAGCCUGGGUAUUUGA
RNAcentral lists this ribosomal RNA (372 nucleotides) under Triticum aestivum (bread wheat). Its description in RNAcentral is "partial small subunit ribosomal RNA". The record is from RNAcentral. Lineage: Eukaryota; Viridiplantae; Streptophyta; Magnoliopsida; Poales; Poaceae.